UGGGGAUAUUGCACAAUGGGGAAAGCCCUGAUGCAGCGACGCCGCGUGAGUGAAGAAGUAUUUCGGUAUGUAAAGCUCUAUCAGUAGGGAAGAGAUUGACGGUACCUGACUAAGAAGCCCCGGCUAACUACGUGCCAGCAGCCGCGGUAAUACGUAGGGGGCAAGCGUUAUCCGGAUUUACUGGGUGUAAAGGGAGCGUAGACGGUAAAGCAAGUCUGAAGUGAAAGCCCGCGGCUCAACUGCGGGACUGCUUUGGAAACUGUUUAACUGGAGUGCUGGAGAGGUAAGCGGAAUUCCUAGUGUAGCGGUGAAAUGCGUAGAUAUUAGGAGGAACACCAGUGGCGAAGGCGGCUUACUGGACGGUAACUGACGUUGAGGCUCGAAAGCGUGGGGAGCAAACAGGAUUAGAUACCC
RNAcentral lists this ribosomal RNA (414 nucleotides) under uncultured bacterium. RNAcentral describes it as "bacterial SSU rRNA". It matches the Rfam family "Bacterial small subunit ribosomal RNA", at positions 356 to 787 of the family's 1533-position model. The record is from RNAcentral.